Molecule: ribosomal RNA, 494 nt
Filed under: uncultured bacterium
Lineage: Bacteria
Description: partial 16S ribosomal RNA
Rfam family: Bacterial small subunit ribosomal RNA
Source: RNAcentral
GACGAACGCUGGCGGCGUGCUUAACACAUGCAAGUCGAACGGUGAAGCGCCUUCCUUUUUGGUGGGUGUGGAUGAGUGGCGAACGGGUGAGUAACACGUGAGUAACCUGCCCCCUUCUUCUGGAUAACCGCAUGAAAGUGUGGCUAAUACGGGAUAUUCUGGUUCUGUCGCAUGAUGGGUCUGGGAAAGAUAUUGUUUCGGUGGGGGAUGGGCUCGCGGCCUAUCAGCUUGUUGGUGGGGUGAUGGCCUACCAAGGCGGUGACGGGUAGCCGGCCUGAGAGGGUGGACGGUCACACUGGGAAUGAGACACGGCCCAGACUCCUACGGGAGGCAGCAGUGGGGAAUAUUGCACAAUGGGCGCAAGCCUGAUGCAGCGACGCCGCGUGAGGGAUGGAGGCCUUCGGGUUGUGAACCUCUUUCGCCAGUGAAGCAGGCCUGCCUCGUUUGUGGGUGGGUUGACGGUAGCUGGAUAAGAAGCGCCGGCUAACUACGUG